RNAcentral lists this ribosomal RNA (239 nucleotides) under uncultured bacterium. RNAcentral describes it as "partial 16S ribosomal RNA". It matches the Rfam family "Bacterial small subunit ribosomal RNA", at positions 96 to 334 of the family's 1533-position model. The record is from RNAcentral.
CGGCGGACGGGUGAGUAACGCGUGGGUAACCUGCCUCAUACAGGGGGAUAACAGUUAGAAAUGGCUGCUAAUACCGCAUAAGACCACAGUACUGCAUGGUACAGUAGGUAAAAACUCCGGUGGUAUGAGAUGGACCCGCGUCUGAUUAGGUAGUUGGUGAGGUAACGGCCCACCAAGCCGACGAUCAGUAGCCGACCUGAGAGGGUGACCGGCCACAUUGGGACUGAGACACGGCCCAG